RNAcentral lists this ribosomal RNA (510 nucleotides) under uncultured bacterium. RNAcentral's name for it is "bacterial SSU rRNA". It matches the Rfam family "Bacterial small subunit ribosomal RNA", at positions 775 to 1296 of the family's 1533-position model. The record is from RNAcentral.
AGAUAAUAGAUACCCAGGUAGUCCACGCCCUAAACGAUGUUUACUUGCCGUUGGGAGAGAUUUCAGUGGCGAAAGCUAAACGCGAGAAGUAAACCGCCUGGGGAGUACGGUCGCAAGAUUAAAACUCAAAGGAAUUGACGGGGACCCGCACAAGCGGUGGAUGAUGUGGAUUAAUUCGAUGCAACGCGAAGAACCUUACCUGCUCUUGACAUGCUAGGAAGGCUGUAGAGAUAUAGCUGUGCCUUCGGGAACCUAGACACAGGUGCUGCAUGGCUGUCGUCAGCUCGUGUCGUGAGAUGUUGUCUUAAGUGACGCAACGAGCGCAACCCUUGCCACUAGUUGCCAAAAAGGGACUCUAGUGGGACUGCUGGUAAAUAUCGGAGGAAGUGGGGAUGACGUCAAGUCCUCAUGGCCCUUAUGAGCAGGGCUUCACACGUCAUACAAUGGUAGGUACAGACGGUUGCCAAGCCGCGAGGUGGAGCUAAUCCGAGAAAGCCUAUCGUAGUCCGG